CUGAAAGGCUUGUAAGCCAGAAUAAGCAGAAAAGGAAGCAUUGUAACUUCUUAGGCAAGCAAUUGAUAUAGUAAAAAUGAAUUAUGUGUUCAUAAACAAUGUAAAAGAUAAAAAACAUUUAUCUGUCACAACUUCCCAACUAUGCUAUUGUGGAUCAAAAGCAGCUAUAGACAAUAUGUAAAUGAAGGACUAUGAUUGAUGUUUGACUAGGAAUCAUAAUCCCUGUGGUAGUUACUAUAAUUUUAUAGACGUGAGCAUUUGUUAGAUGGCCUCCCCUCCCACGUCUGCCAUCACUGACAGUGAAAGUCAGCCAGUGACCCUGAAUUGUCUGCCAUUUCUCUCUCCUCUUUGCCCUUGUCAUCCAAUAAGUCUCCCAGCUCUGCCAAUUUUCCUCAGUUUGAGUUUUCAGAUUUUAGCACCUGUAAUAACUGCCCAAGGCUAGG
RNAcentral lists this long non-coding RNA (443 nucleotides) under Homo sapiens (human). Its description in RNAcentral is "non-protein coding lnc-FH-4:5". Lineage: Eukaryota; Metazoa; Chordata; Mammalia; Primates; Hominidae. The record is from RNAcentral.